Molecule: ribosomal RNA, 440 nt
Filed under: uncultured bacterium
Lineage: Bacteria
Description: partial 16S ribosomal RNA
Rfam family: Bacterial small subunit ribosomal RNA
Source: RNAcentral
CCUACGGGAGGCAGCAGUGGGGAAUAUUGCACAAUGGGGGAAACCCUGAUGCAGCAACGCCGCGUGAGUGAUGACGGCCUUCGGGUUGUAAAGCUCUGUCUUCAGGGACGAUAAUGACCGUACCUGAGGAGGAAGCCACGGCCAACCACGUGCCAGCAGCCGCGGGAAUACGUCGGUGGCGAGCGUUGUCCGGAUUUACUGGGCGUAAAGGGAGCGUAGGCGGAAUUGUAAGUGAGAAGUGAAAUACCCGGGCUAAACUUGGGUGCUGCUGUUCAAACUGGUAGUCUAGAGUGCAGGAGAGGUGAAUGGAAUUCCUAGUGUAGCGGUGAAAUGCGUAGAGAUUAGGAGGAACACCAGUGGCGAAGGCGGUUCACUGGACUGUAACUGACGUUGAGGCUCGAAAGCGUGGGGAGCAAACAGGAUUAGAUACCCUAGUAGUC